RNAcentral lists this ribosomal RNA (548 nucleotides) under uncultured bacterium. RNAcentral's name for it is "bacterial SSU rRNA". It matches the Rfam family "Bacterial small subunit ribosomal RNA", at positions 355 to 896 of the family's 1533-position model. The record is from RNAcentral.
UAGGGAAUCUUCCGCAAUGGGCGAAAGCCUGACGGAGCAACGCCGCGUGAGUGAAGAAGGAUUUCGGUUCGUAAAGCUCUGUUGUUAGGGAAGAAUGAUUGUGCAGUAACUAUACACAGUAGAGACGGUACCUAACCAGAAAGCCACGGCUAACUACGUGCCAGCAGCCGCGGUAAUACGUAGGUGGCAAGCGUUGUCCGGAAUUAUUGGGCGUAAAGCGCGCGCAGGUGGUUUAAUAAGUCUGAUGUGAAAGCCCACGGCUCAACCGUGGAGGGUCAUUGGAAACUGUUAAACUUGAGUGCAGGAGAGAAAAGUGGAAUUCCUAGUGUAGCGGUGAAAUGCGUAGAGAUUAGGAGGAACACCAGUGGCGAAGGCGGCUUUUUGGCCUGUAACUGACACUGAGGCGCGAAAGCGUGGGGAGCAAACAGGAUUAGAUACCCUGGUAGUCCACGCCGUAAACGAUGAGUGCUAAGUGUUGGUCUCAUAAGAGAUCAGUGCUGCAGCUAACGCAUUAAGCACUCCGCCUGGGGAGUACGACCGCAAGGUUG